AGAGACAGCAGUAGCCGCGGUAAUACGUAGGUCCCGAGCGUUGUCCGGAUUUAUUGGGCGUAAAGCGAGCGCAGGCGGUUAGAUAAGUCUGAAGUUAAAGGCUGUGGCUUAACCAUAGUACGCUUUGGAAACUGUUUAACUUGAGUGCAAGAGGGGAGAGUGGAAUUCCAUGUGUAGCGGUGAAAUGCGUAGAUAUAUGGAGGAACACCGGUGGCGAAAGCGGCUCUCUGGCUUGUAACUGACGCUGAGGCUCGAAAGCGUGGGGAGCAAACAGGAUUAGAUACCCCUGUAGUCCCUGUCUCUUAUACA
Molecule: ribosomal RNA, 309 nt
Filed under: uncultured bacterium
Lineage: Bacteria
Description: partial 16S ribosomal RNA
Rfam family: Bacterial small subunit ribosomal RNA
Source: RNAcentral